ACAGCCACAUCACAUUGAAAUACUGGUUCCCAUAUGAUCACUGAAGUUAAGCAACAUUGAGUCUGGUUAGUACCUAGAUAGGUGACCGAUUAGGAAUACCAAGUACUGUAAG
This is a non-coding RNA of Acanthosepion pharaonis, 112 nucleotides long. The record is from the annotation of a GenBank genome assembly. Lineage: Eukaryota; Metazoa; Mollusca; Cephalopoda; Sepiida; Sepiidae.